AAUCAUACAGCUACCGAUCGAAGGAAUCCGUGUGGAACCCGAACCUCUAUGCCCGUGGCUGCGGCACCGCCACGGCCGUGUCCACGUUGUUCACGACUCACGGAGCCCGCAACGCGCCGACGACAUCCCCGACCCGCCUGGCCAUGCACCGCACCAGCUCCCCCUGGCGGCUGUCGUCGUGCACCGACGGGACGGUGAGCGUGACGUCGAACGCCGCGUCCACGCGCGCCAUCUCCCCGGCGAGGCUGCCCAUCACGAACCCCGGCACGCGGACCGCGGCGCCCCACGCCACG
This 293-nucleotide long non-coding RNA is filed under the name Setaria italica (foxtail millet). Its description in RNAcentral is "long non-coding RNA (SITA_LNC000567)". The record is from RNAcentral. Lineage: Eukaryota; Viridiplantae; Streptophyta; Magnoliopsida; Poales; Poaceae.